Long non-coding RNA from Manis pentadactyla (Chinese pangolin), 2569 nucleotides. RefSeq lists it as uncharacterized. The transcript has 3 exons. The record is from RefSeq and is a predicted model, not a curated record. Lineage: Eukaryota; Metazoa; Chordata; Mammalia; Pholidota; Manidae.
AGUGAAGUUGCAGUGUCAUCCUGGUCAGUUGACUUAAGAGCCCCAGCGUUUAGCCACAUGGCAGAAUGUUUUCCUUUUCCAGUGGGCCACGGAUUCAUUUUUCUCUUUCACUCGUCUGUGCAGGCCAUCAAACCUUCUCUUAUGUUGUUAUGAAGUUUUUAAUAUAUGGAUGUAUCAUCUCCCUAAGAUUAUUGUAGGCUUCUUGAACAUGAAGCCAUGUCCUCACUUUCUUGAUAUCCCCUGUGGCACCCACCAAGUAGCUACUUGUAUUUGUCUGCACAGGUAGAUAGGAAACCUGCAGAGGUUCAGUGGAGCAGAAUAAGUUGUGUUCUCCAAUUUAUAGAUACAUUGGUUGAACUUGGACAAUUCUUUUGGAACUUAGACUGCAUUUUCUCAAUGAAAAUAUAUUAUAAAUGGCUUUCUGAAGCAGAUGCACCUCUUCAGUCCUGUUUCCAUUAGGACUAUUUUCUAUUCCAAAAUCUACUAGGAAAUCUAGAGCCCCCAAAUACCUGGCUGGGUUCCAGGGCUAUGGCUCAAUUUGAGAUGAGUAAACCAGACAGAAGGACCCUGCUCAGGGCUUGCUGCAGCUGCCAACAAUCUACCCUUGCCAAGAGAGUGGGAAAGGCUGCCUGAUCAUCUCCGGAGAGAGCAUCUCUGCCAUCAGAAAGUCGACCAUGGCACAGGCUGGGGUGCAAUCUGACCACCAUUAGCAGCUCUCCUUCUUCAGAAGACACCUCUCUGGAUCUCAGUGUCCUCAUUUGUGGAAUAAGACCUCUGGGCUAGACACUUUCCAAGGAAGUUACAGCAUAUGCAGAGAUGGCUGAAGAAAUGAAGCAUCGCCAUGGUGUAUAUUCAGACAAGGUAACAGAGAGCAGGUAUGUUUGUGUUACAAUUUAAAAUAUCCUAAAACACCAAGUAGAAGUUAACAUUACCAAUAAUGGAACAUACUGCCAUCAAGAGUGAUGUGAGGAGCAAUGUGAUCUCCUCAAAAAGACAGAGCAUCACUUAUCUGCAAAAAAUGCAUCUACUGAAUCUAAUCACGGAAAAGCAUCAAAUAAACCCACCUUGUAGGGCAUUUUAAGAAACAACCAACCUGUACCCUUAAAACAUAUCAAUGACAUGAAAGACAAUGAAAGCUGAGGCACUGGUCCAGGUUAAGGAACCCAAAGAGAUGCCACAGCUAAAGGCAGUGUGUGACUGGAUCUCAAACCAGAAAAAUGUAAAGGACCUUGCUGGAUCAACUGGUGAAAUUCAAAUACAGACUGUGUCUUAGUAGCAUGGCACCACUGUCACCUUUCCUGAGUUUGAUCCUUGUUCUGUGGUUCUGUAAGACAAUGUCUUUGUUCUUAGGAGAUCAUUUCUAAAGUAUUUAGGGGUAAAGGGUAUGAUGUCUCAAGCUGUUCGGCAAAGAGAAUAUAACCAUGUGCAUGGAUAUGUAUAUAUAUAGGUAGAGAGAAAUGGGUAAAACAAAUGUAGCAAAAUGUUAGGAUCGGUGGAUAUUAAGAAUGUACGGGAAAUGUGUAUCAACUACACUUCCAUUUGUAAAAAGAAUGUAGGGGAGCCUUUGUACACCAUUCUUGCAACUUUUUUGUAAGGUUUAAGUCAUUUAAAAACAUAAAGUUAAAAAUCAAAUAAUCUAAAAUUGUUCUAAAACGUUAAAAAGUUUAUUUUUAAGAAAUCAAGUAAUACUUAGAAAUGAAAGUCCCAUCAGAAGUUUUCUGAUGUUCUAGAACUAAAAACAAGCACACACUUUGAAAACUCUGGUAUGGAGUAUCUGUUAGCUCUGGCUGCCAUAGAUGUGCUAAGAGAUUAUAAAUAAUAAACAGAUCAUUCCAAAAACAAAAAUAAUUUGUUACCUUAGUUGUCAAAUAUGGCCAUAUGCCCGACAGAUGGUUCCUCUUGUUCUCUGCCACAAAUUCCCUUCCCUGUUGUCCGACCCGUCAAUCCUACGGCCUUGCUAACUUCUGCUCACUCCUUAGUGCUCAGCCUCAGUAUCACUUCCUCCAAGCAGGCUCCCAAGAUCUCCUAUGUCAGGGUUGGCCUUUCCUCCUCUGUGCCCCCAGAGCACGCUGGAAGUGUCAUCUCUGUCGCAGUACUGAAUAGACUUGAGUCUAUUGCCCAUCUAUCUGCUCGGACUGUGAGGGCCUUGAGGACUGGAAGCCAAGUCUGUUCUGUUCUUGGAGGUAACUCUGGCACCUAGUUAGCAUAGUGCUAGGAUUUGAAGCUCUUAAUAAACACUUGUUUGAUAAAUGAAUAUGGAAUGCUCUGUGAAUAUAUGGGUUGUGUAAUGUGAGGUUGUAACUCCAGCCCCCUUGGUAGAUUUUCAGCACUAAAAUCAGUCUUGGUGCGGAUUUAUCUCAUUCUUAUUCUCCUGCUCCUGGAAACAGGACUUGGGGCUGUGUUCACUUCUCUUGUGGGGCCAGGCACACACACUGCAUGUUCAUACUGAAGAAAAGCUGUUGUUCUGAAAACUCUAUGGUUGUCAACUGUUGCAGAGAAUCUGCUCUGGGUUAUCUGUGAAAUUCAACUCUGAAUUUCCCUCAGCAAAUAUUUGCACAAGUUCUGCCUU